UCCAGGAUCCAGCCGAACAGAGGAUGCGCGCGACGCGGGCGGUUUGCGUGGAUCCAGCCGAGCCGCCGAGGCGAGGCAGGCGAGCAAGCGAUUGGUCCGUGAGGGAAUCGAGCCGACGCGCACCAUGCGGGUGAUUCCGGGGCCGCUCGAUCUAGAACGCAGGAUGCGGGCGAUGAAAGUCGAUGCCUCAUCUGCUCGAGGAGUUCAUCGCCGUUUCUACACGCAAUUAGUGCAAUUGAAAAUCGGGGGAAAUAGUGGAGUUCAGUUACUGGUUAGCAUCUUGCAUACUACUCCCUCCGUUCGAAAUUACUUGUCUCGAAAAUGAAUGUAUCUAGAACUAAAAUACAUCUAGAUACAUCCAAUUCUACGACAAGUAAUUCCGAACGGAGAAAGUAUGUCCUAGCCCCUGCUCUUUGCCUUUUCUUCCUUCUGUAAAAGCUUCCCAUUUGCUACGGUUCUCCGUUGUGUUGCUGCCAUAAUCUCCCAUCCCCUCUGCUCGUCAGCCUCUCUCAUUCAUCUUACCAGCACUACCACUCUACAAGCACUACCGCUCUACAUCUUACUCGGAGCAAAAAGGUGCUUUGUUGGAGAUGAGAUUUGCGGUACUAAUAUCACUGCAAUCUCAAGUUUAGACAGACCAGGAGAGGAAAAGCAUCCAACGAUACUGGUCUACGUGGGGCAAAGCGAGGCGGGCAUGAGCAAGACUCGUCAAUGCAUCAAAGCUGUUGUUAGUUCUGUGGAUGGUGGUAACGUCCACCUCGCUCCCUAUGGGCAAAUUCCGUAGGUUUUCAACCUUUGCACCUGCGCCUCCUUUCUCCUCCUAAGGAAGUCACAUCGAUUGAUGGGUUGGUAGAGAACAACAACCAGAUAUGCUACUGCAAAAUAAUCAUGGAGUCAGUCCUCUGAAUGGCGUUGUGCUGCAAUUGAUGAAUUCCUGAUUUUAUUGCUGUAUUGUAAGAUGAUUUCCUGGUUUUAUUGCUAUGUUGUGAGAUGACUUCCUGAUUCUAUUGCUAUGUUGUGAUAUCCAUCUCCCGUAACAUGUGGUGAAGUCUUUGUCAAUAUGCUUCGGACAUAGUCUUCUUCAGUGAGAAGCCACCCCAUGCAUGCGGAUAUAAGCUUCAGAACAUAUAUUAGAUGAGAGUACUCUUUAGUCCGGUAGUUAGCAAAACCAUAGCUUCUUCCUUGCUUAUAAAUUUCUUGGUAUGUCUUACAUUCAAGGCUCAAGCUACCCAUCAGUUCUAUGUUGCUGCACCAAUGUACUGUU
Molecule: long non-coding RNA, 1264 nt
Organism: Triticum dicoccoides
Lineage: Eukaryota; Viridiplantae; Streptophyta; Magnoliopsida; Poales; Poaceae
Exons: 3
Source: RefSeq, a predicted model, not a curated record